Molecule: long non-coding RNA, 1102 nt
Filed under: Glycine max (soybean)
Lineage: Eukaryota; Viridiplantae; Streptophyta; Magnoliopsida; Fabales; Fabaceae
Description: long non-coding RNA (GMAX_LNC000518)
Source: RNAcentral
GAGCUUCCACCGUUCGAUUACUCCCCGCCGCCAUAUGCGGGCCCCACCGCUGAGGAGAUUCUGGCGAAGCGCAGGGAGUAUCUUAGUCCUUCCAUCUUGCAUUCAUACAAGAACCCUGUGAGUCCGCGCUGCACACGAUUAUUUUCCGACAAAUAAUUAUGAGAGUUUAACGUUGAUCCACUUGAGUAGUGUAUAAGUAACUCAUCAUUUAAAAGUUUUUACCAUGUGAACCAGUUAAUCUUAGAAUUUUUUAUUUAAUUUUGUAAUACAAAAUUUUAAGAUUUAAUAAAUUUUAAACUGUUUUUCAAGAAAAAAAAAUAUUUACAUUGUAUUUUUACUGCAAAUAUUUACACUGUUAGUAUUUAGGACAAGUAUAUAUUAUUUACUUUAUUUAUUAAUAUAAAUAUACUUCUUAUUUGUUGACAAGUUGGUAUUUUAUGUGUCAAUGCUACAUAUUAAUUUUUAAUUAAAUUGUUAUAAUUUGAAAGUUUUAGCAAUUAUUUAUUUAUUUAUUUAGUAGACAGCAAGUGAAAGUAAUUGAAAUGAAUUUAAUUGUUAUGAAUUCAUGUUAUUUGUGAUUAAACUGCGUGCUGCAUUAAAACAAAUCCACCAAAAAUAAUUCAUACACGCAAUAUUGGUUACAUUCAACCCUUGUUUUCAGAAAACAUCUUCCUUGCUUUUAUGGUGAAAGUGGAUUGGACUUCAUGUCAUCACAGCAUUUGAAACAACAAAACAAACACGAUGAUAUACCAUUUGAUAAAUGUUUUCGUAGUUAAUUAAACAAAUUCAGUUACAAAGUCUCGUAAUUUAGAUUUACAAAAUUUAAAAGUGUAAGUAAUGAAUAAGUUAUAUAAUUACUAAAAACCAAUACACAUUUAAUCUUGAUGAAUGAGAAAGAAUUAAAAGAAAUGGUUGUGUGGGGGUGGUGGUGCAGGUGAACAUAGUGGAGGGUAAGAAACAGUACCUGUUCGACGAGAAGGGGAGAAGGUACGUGGAUGCAUUCGGAGGGAUUGCUACGGUGUGCUGCGGGCACUGUCACCAUGAUGUGGUGGAGGCCAUAGUCAACCAAACCAAGAAGUUGCAGCACUCCACUGUUCUCUAC